GAACUAUGAGACAAUAAGGUUGUUUAGGCCUCCCGGUCUGUAGUACUUCAUUAUAGCAGUCCUAGCAAAAUAACAGAGCGGAGGAUGGAACUACCACUUUCUCAUCACAAGCACAAAAAUAUACACACCACACACACUAUACACACGCACAUACCACACACACAUACCACAAGCACCACACACACAUACACCGAACACACCACAUUCACAUAUACAACCUGAUACUUUCAUUCCUAUUAUCUUUCUGUUCCAUUUUGCUGAUAAAAGAUCUCUUUAAAACUACUUAUCUUAUGAAAUAAGACAUCAUUCAAACCAACUCCCUUUCUCUCUUUCUCCAACUUUCCUUCUCUUUCUUAUGAGGAAAUGAGUAGAGAAAAUUUAAAGUACACAUCCUAGGCCCCAUUUGCUAAAGCACUUUUGGGAGCACAAUCAAGAUUUUUCUGCUUCAGAGUCACAGUUUUUCCCAGAAGAACUUCUCAAACUAUCAUGAGAGGUCAGACAUGAUUCACAUGUGGGAAUAGAACAAGCAAGGAGAAGUCCAUUUAGGGGCAGAAGUCCAUACGAGCUCAAGACCCAGAAGUAGGAACCCAUGCUGUGAACAUGAGUAAUUUUCUUAACAACUUAGUGUGAAUUAAAGAAAUUAAAGUAUGCUGUCGUGUUUGUUUGAACAGCUUACCUAGGAUUAUAAUAUUAAUGUCUCUGCUUUCUUUUGGUGAAGGUGCUAUAGACCUGAAACAGUUUUGUUGCAUAUUUUAGAGACAGUGCCUAUACAGAAAACAAAUAAGCUAUUUCACUUCAUAGCUCCACUAGAUAAAGAACUCGGUAUACAUUUCAA
This is a long non-coding RNA of Canis lupus familiaris (dog), 835 nucleotides long. RefSeq lists it as uncharacterized. The record is from RefSeq and is a predicted model, not a curated record. The transcript is spliced from 3 exons. Lineage: Eukaryota; Metazoa; Chordata; Mammalia; Carnivora; Canidae.